This 22-nucleotide microRNA is filed under the name Gallus gallus (chicken). RNAcentral's name for it is "gga-miR-6554-5p". The record is from miRBase by way of RNAcentral. Lineage: Eukaryota; Metazoa; Chordata; Aves; Galliformes; Phasianidae.
UGUUUUUACAUUACACAGCAUA